This 419-nucleotide ribosomal RNA is filed under the name uncultured bacterium. Its description in RNAcentral is "partial 16S ribosomal RNA". It matches the Rfam family "Bacterial small subunit ribosomal RNA", at positions 362 to 773 of the family's 1533-position model. The record is from RNAcentral.
UAUUGGACAAUGGGGGCAACCCUGAUCCAGCCAUGUCGCGUGAGUGAAGAAGGUCUUCGGAUUGUAUUGCACUUUAAGUUGGGAGGAAGGGCUUUAGGCUAAUACCCUGAAGUUUUGACGUUACCAACAGAAUAAGCACCGGCUAACUCUGUGCUAGCAGCCGCUGUAAUACAGAGGGUACAAUCGUUAAUCGGAAUUACUGGGCGUAAAGCGCGCGUAGGUGGUUCAGUAAGAUGGGUGUGAAAUCCCCGGGCUUAACCUGGAAACUGCUUUCAUAACUGCUGAGCUAGAGUACGGUAGAGGGUAGUGGAAUUUCCUGUGUAGCGGUAAAAUGCGUAGAUAUAGGAAGGAACACCAGUGGCGAAGGCGACUACCUGGACUGAUACUGACACUGAGGUGCGAAAGCGUGGGGAGCAAAC